Rana temporaria (common frog) is the source of this 133-nucleotide small nucleolar RNA. RefSeq annotates it as small nucleolar RNA SNORA84. The transcript has a single exon. Lineage: Eukaryota; Metazoa; Chordata; Amphibia; Anura; Ranidae. The record is from RefSeq and is a predicted model, not a curated record.
GCCCUGUGGUUGCUGGAUCUGUAUGAUGUUACUGCACGCCAGCGUAUGGUGAAGGGCGCACAUUAAUACUGUGAUAUUAGCAUGGGGUGUGACGUUGCUGUGCUGUCCCCAUAGCCCGGUCACAGUGACAUGU